This 763-nucleotide long non-coding RNA is filed under the name Homo sapiens (human). Its description in RNAcentral is "long independently transcribed non-coding RNA 1284 (LINC01284)". The record is from RNAcentral. Lineage: Eukaryota; Metazoa; Chordata; Mammalia; Primates; Hominidae.
UUCUAGGAUACGUGUGCAGAACGUGCAGGUCCGUUACAUAGGUAUACAUGUGCCAUGGUGGUUUGCUGAACCCAUCAACCCGUCAUCUUCAAAGAUAAGGCCUUCAGUAUAUCAAGAUCAGUGGAUCAAAGAAACAUCCUCAAGAAACUAAGAAACAACACAAGAUUCUCUCUGAUGAAAUGCUUAAGUAUAAGGAAAAUGAUGGAAGACACAGAAGAGCAGCAGAAUUGGGUAGAAGACUACUACAGAUGCCAGAUCGCCACUUCUGAAAGAAAGGCUUACGACAACUGGCUCUGUGUUUAAGCCUCGCAGAGGGAGAUGCAAGAGAAGAAGGCUGCCUACAAGCAGCACAGAUAGGAAAUGAUUGAAAAACAGAGAGUGCUGGAGAGACACAUUAGUCAGGAGCCAGCUAGUGGACAACCAGGCAUAGAGAAUCAUCCCCAAAGAGGUCAAUAUGGCUUUGGGAGGGCCCCUUUUUCAGGAUUGCCCUACUUGCUCUACUGCAUGGCUGGCUCUUCAGGACCAUUUGUGGGCUGCCAGACACCUCCUCUGCCUGGGUGGCCUCUGGGAACACGACCACUGCCUCCAUGCACACCACUUGGACAAGCUGAAAUUUGAAGAGGCCCCUGAGCUGUGACAGCCAUGCUGUGGCUCCUACAUAACUUGGAAAAGUAUCCAAUACAUUUUACGCUGCCUGCCCAGUGCUGCCUCAUCUGUCUCUAAUCUUCUGUAGUGUUUCCCCUAAUAAAGGUUUGCAGUCCUA